AACUUUUAACAAUGGAUCUCUUGGCUCUCGCAUCGAUGAAGAACGCAGCAAAAUGCGAUAAGUUAUGUGAAUUGCAGAAUUCAGUGAAUCAUCGAAUCUUUGAACGCACCUUGCGCUCCUUGGUAUUCUGAGGAGCACGCUUGUUCGAGUGUCGUGAAGUUCUCAAGCUGUGAUGCUUUUGUUUUUUGUUAUGCUGCUUGGUUUAUUGGGCUUUGCCGUGUCCCCUUCAUUUGGGACGGCUGACCUUAAAGGUAUUAGCUUUGAUCCCUGGUGUGGAUUGGUUCUACUCAGCGUGAUAAUAUCUGACCGCUGAGGACAUCUUUCGGGGUGGCCAGUUCUCCAUUGGGGUUGCUCUCUAAUCUGGAUUGCAAGAUUUCGCGAAUCUUUGCUUCCACUUCCAAUUUUGACCUCGAAUCAGGUGGGACUACCCGCUGAACUUAAGCAUAUCAAUAAGCGGAGGCU
RNAcentral lists this unclassified non-coding RNA (462 nucleotides) under uncultured Clavulinaceae. RNAcentral's name for it is "sequence contains ITS2". The stretch from base 1 to 154 matches the Rfam family "5.8S ribosomal RNA". Lineage: Eukaryota; Fungi; Basidiomycota; Agaricomycetes; Cantharellales; Hydnaceae. The record is from RNAcentral.